UCCGGUUGAUCCUGCCGGACCCGACUGCUAUUUGGGUGAGAAUAAGCCAUGCGAGUUGAAUGGGAUACCUAAAUUUCCCAUAGCGAACUGCUCAGUAACACAUGAUCAACUUACCCUAUAGAGAAACAUAACCUCGGGAAACUGAGGAUAAUAUUUCAUAGUUGAAUAGGCUUGGAAAAGUUUUUCAAUAAAAGAGAUAAAAAAAUGGUUUUUAUCUGCUAUAGGAUAGGAUCGUGGACGAUUAUGGUUGUUGGUGAGGUAACGGCUCACCAAGCCGAUAAUCGAUAGGGGCCGUGAGAGCGGGAGCCCCGAGAUGGGUACUGAGACAACGACCCAGGCCUUACGAGGCGCAGCAGGCGCGGAACCUCCGCAAUACACGAAAGUGUGACGGGGUUACCCAAAGUGUUCAAUUUUGAACUGUGGUAGGUGAGUAAUGUUCCCUACUAGAAAGGAGAGGGCAAGGCUGGUGCCAGCCGCCGCGGUAAAACCAGCUCUUCAAGUGGUCGGGAUAAUUAUUGGGCUUAAAGUGUCCGUAGCCGGUUUAGUAAGUUCCUGGUAAAAUCGGGUAGCUUAACUAUCUGUAUGCUAGGAAUACUGCUAUACUAGAGGGCGGGAGAGGUCUGAGGUACUACAGGGGUAGGGGUGAAAUCUUAUAAUCCUUGUAGGACCACCAGUGGCGAAGGCGUCAGACUGGAACGCGCCUGACGGUGAGGGACGAAAGCCAGGGGAGCGAACCGGAUUAGAUACCCCGGUAGUCC
RNAcentral lists this ribosomal RNA (758 nucleotides) under uncultured archaeon. RNAcentral describes it as "bacterial SSU rRNA". It matches the Rfam family "Archaeal small subunit ribosomal RNA", at positions 1 to 747 of the family's 1478-position model. The record is from RNAcentral.